GAAAGAUGAAAAGAACUUUGAAAAGAGAGUUAAACAGUACGUGAAGUUGUUGAAAGGGAAACGAUUGAAGUCAGUCAUACCAACGGGAAAUCAACCUUUUGAGCUCGGUCUCGUGGGUUUUGAAGAGUUUCAAAGCCUUCGGAUUCGCGGGAUUGGGAUCUCUCGGUGUACUUUUUCGUACGGUUAGUCAACAUCGGUUUUGAAUGUCAUAAAAUGACUGGAGGAAUGUAGCUUCGAUCUCGUAUUGAAGUGUUAUA
Molecule: ribosomal RNA, 257 nt
Filed under: uncultured Funneliformis
Lineage: Eukaryota; Fungi; Glomeromycota; Glomeromycetes; Glomerales; Glomeraceae
Description: partial large subunit ribosomal RNA
Rfam family: Eukaryotic large subunit ribosomal RNA
Source: RNAcentral